RNAcentral lists this long non-coding RNA (3327 nucleotides) under Zea mays. RNAcentral describes it as "long non-coding RNA (ZMAY_LNC001827)". Lineage: Eukaryota; Viridiplantae; Streptophyta; Magnoliopsida; Poales; Poaceae. The record is from RNAcentral.
AUCUGCACACACACGAGCCGUGGGAGCUCCAUGGUACGUGCUUGCUGUGCCUACUUGCCACUGAAAUUAAAUUCCUUAAUUGCUUAAUUUACUUGAUUGUUAGCUCUACGUCCAUCUCCCUCUCUCGCAAGCAAGACUCUGGCUAAUUAACUCAGUUUCGUGUCAUGGAAUGAGUGAUUAGGCACGCAACCUCAUGCAUGAUCAUAUCAAUUCUUCACGCAUAAUAUAUAGUAUAUGGAUGCGUUUGGUUGCCUGGCCCAGCGCACGGCCAGGUCCAUUUGAAACAAGCAUGCCAUGUUUGGUAUCCUGGCCCAGCUUGAGGGCCUGGUUGAGGCGAGCCGUAUCUUCCUUCGUGGCCAGGCCCAAUUGAAACGCUGGUAAUUUCCUUCGCGCAUCAGCCUGGCCCGUGCUCGCCCACUGCGCUAGGGGAGUUAUUUGAAUUUGUAACAUUUUCGUCACGCGGCUUCGCCACUUUAUUACUCCGCAGCCGUACUUCGCCAGUUUGGUAUUAUGGAGGAAACACCCGCGCCAGUUUGGUACUGUUAAUCUACCAGCCUCUUUAACCUUUCCUUAGCUACGGUAAAAAUCAAUUUUGCCCCUCGCUGUACCAAUUGGGUGCCACAGAGUCGUGAACCUGAGGAGUAAAAAUCAAUUCUAACUUCCCUCGUGCUGCUCAUCUUCAACAAGCUGGCCGACGCGCGGUCGCUGGGGCGCUGCUCCGCGGUGUCGCGCCGCUUCAGCGCGCUGGUCCCGCUCGUGGACGACGCCUGCCUGCGCAUCGACCGCGUCAUCCCCGCCGACGCCGCCGACGCGGGGGCGCCGCGCCCGCGCGCCGCGCUCUCGCACCUCCUCAAGUCCGUGCUGCUCGCCGUGCUCAAGCCCUUCGCGCACUGCGACGCCAAGUCCGCGUCGCCGCAAAAGCACGCGCAGCAGCAGCACCACUCGCCCGCCCAGGUGCUGAGGAACUUCAGCAGCAUCCGCAGCCUCCGGAUGGAGCUCCCGGUCUCCGACGUGGGCACCGACGACGGCGUCGUGCUCAGGUGGAAGGCCGUGUUCGGCAGCACGCUGCAGAGCUGCGUCAUCCUCGGCGGCACCAGGGUGGACCGCGCCGCGGCCGCGGGACCGCCGCACGCCCCCUCCUCCGCUCCCCCGCGGGCGACGACGACGGCGGCAGCAUCCCGGAGUCCCUGUACACCAACGGCGGCCUCAAGCUGCGCGUCGUCUGGACCAUCAGCUCCCUCAUCGCCGCGGCCACCAGGCACUACCUCCUCCGCGAGAUCGUCAAGGAGCACCCCACCCUGGAGCGGGUGGCGCUGACGGACGCCGGCGGGCAGGGCACGCUCAGCAUGACGGACGCCGUAGGAGAGGAUGGCGUCGACGAGGAGGACGGGGGCUCAUCGGGGAUAACGCAGUCGACGCGGACGAGGACGGAGUCGACAAGGGGCACGAGCUCGUGGAAGCGGCGGGAGAUGAGGGAGCAGCAGCCGAGCGCCUUGACGUUGCCGAUGCGAUUGAAGAUGACGAGGAGGAGCGCGUCCGGGAGGCGGUCGAAUUGGUCAUCACCAGCGGCCCCCGAGAGCCAGCGCUCGUCGCCGCCGAGGUCGCACCGCCAGCGGCGGGAUCCCGCGGGAUCUUCGGACAUCGGUGGCGGCAGGGCAGACUGGAUCUGAAGAGGAAUGCAGGGAGGGAGGCGUGGCACAGAGUGAACGAGUUAUGUGGCCGCGCGGAAUGCAGACGGCGGCGCGAGCGAGUCUCCGGCGCGGGCAAGUCUCCCGUCUGUUCUCUCUCGCAGCUAGGCUCGCAGCUAGGGGUAGAUUAGUACAUAGGUAUACACAAGCUUCAUCAAACGCAACAAAACAGACGCUUACAGAGCACGGGACGUUAACAGUACCAAACUAGCGCGUGUGUUUUCUCCAUAAUACCAAACUGGCGAAGCACGGCUGCGGAGUAAUAAAGUGGCAAAGCCGCCCGACGAGAAUGUUACAAAUUCAAAUAACUCGCGCUAGGGUUCACUCGUCUCUCGCCUCUCGAGUUCACUCGCAACCGCCGCCGUCGCGGCUCUCGCCUCUCUCUAGAGUUCACUCGCCUCUCCGGUCGGGCUGCGCGACGCAGGCCGGGUGGGCGUGGAGCCCCAUCAACGCGUCGGCGUCGCCCAGCGCCGGAGGAGAUGACCCCUGCCGCGGGAGAAAAGGAGGUCGUCGGGUCGAUGCCCCGUUCACCGAGGAGAUGCGGGCGGCGGCCAUGCGGCUGCACUCCAGGGACCAGGCCAGGGACGGCACGAAGGAGGCGCCCCUGGAGCCGCCCAUCGCCUAGUGGCAGACCACCGUCGAGGGGUACCUCCGCUUCCUCGUCGACAGCAAGCUCAUCUUCCAGACGCUUGAGGCCAUCGUCGACUGUGUCGCCGUCCCCUGGUGUGAGUGCAGUGCGGUGAUACUCUUUUCCUCGGUGUCUUUUCGAGUUUUUCGUACAGUACAACGAUGCUGCGUGCAUGCUUGCUGAUUCAUUUGAUACGUGUUUCCAGAUGCCGAGUUCAGGGAUACUGGUUUGGAGAGAUCGGAGCCGCUCGGCAGGGAUCUGGAAUGGUUCAGGUAGCAAGGUCACGCAGUUCCAGAACCAUCUGCUCCGGGCAUUGCGUAUGCUUCCUUUCUGGUAGAGCUAUCUGAGAAGAACCCCUGGCAUUUGUUUGCCAUUUCUACUACGUGUACGUCGCUCAUGCUGCCGGAGGCCGAAUUUGUUUAAUAACGUUUAAAAUUUUGAAAUUUGGCGAUAACUGUAUCUAACACAUCAAAAUUGGUGGUAAUUCAAUUGGGCCAAGUUAAAAAAAUGAGAACCAAACAAUGUGUUAUAUGAGCCAGGUUUAUUUUGACCAAGGAACCAAACAUUUUAGGUUGGCUUAUUAUAUACGGGCUCCCUUGAGCCUGGUUCUCUCACUGAGCCAGGCUCAAGCUGGACCAGGCAACCAAACAUAUCCUAUAUGACCGAUCAUUGUCGGCUCGUCUGAGGGCUAGGCUAGUGGCAGCUAGCUUACGUUAAUUUCAUCCCAACAGUACGCUAACUACAGGGUUUCUUGCUUCUAAUACAAGUCAUUAUUCCCAUCCACGCGUGUGAAAAUCAACACAAACGCUAAAAUUUCAUCGUCGUACGUGUGAUGAUUGCUUUUCUACUAACGCGCAACUGAUGAGUGAUGAAUCCAUGGUCGCAGACGUGGCGAAGCUGAGCACGAACGAGUGGUACUUCUUCAGCUUCCGCGACCGCAAGUACGCCACGGGGCUGCGCACCAACCGCGCCACCAAGUCUGGCUACUGGAAGGCCACCGGCAAGGACCGC